This 722-nucleotide non-coding RNA is filed under the name Pongo abelii (Sumatran orangutan). The record is from RNAcentral. Lineage: Eukaryota; Metazoa; Chordata; Mammalia; Primates; Hominidae.
GGAGAGCUGGGCUUCGAGGCGUCAGUGUGAAGGGAAGGCUAAGGACGCAUCGGUGCUGGAGAGUUGAGAAUAUGCCUUCCCCUCCACCCCCAACCCAGUCACCUUAUUUGAAAAAAAAUUAAAAAACACCUUUUAUUUAAAAACCUAACCCUGGAAGUUUGCUCGGGAAGGCAUUCUCUUCCUCUUCCUCCAGCUGCCUGAAAAUCAUAUGCGUGGUUUUUCCUGUUUCCUGCUCUGUAGCUGACAUCAGGGGAGCAAAGUGAACACAGGAAAAUGGAAAUCAACAUUUGAAACUUUUAAAUGGAAGCUUUAUUGGGGUUCCACAUAUGGAAAACUGCAAAUAGCAGAAGUAUGUGACUCAAUACAUUAUUCUGGAGUGACCACAUCCUCUAACUACCUCCUAGGACAAGAAGGAGAAUGUGAACAAUGCUCCUGAAGGCCCCUUUCCCUCAAAGAAUCACUGCAAUUGAAGGAAAAAUGCUCCAUGUCCCCUAUGCCAGUUGGUGUUUAUCAAAGGACAACGGAGGAGGAGAGACAAAGUGCCUGGAUGUGUGUGUUAAUCAAGAGUUGUCAGGACCCUGCCUCUAAAAGAAAGCGCUAAAAUGAUGCUUUUGACAAGACUUUUCUCAAAAUGGAUGCAGUCUAAGGGUUGGAAAACAAGGCCCAAUCAGGCUAGGUCUGACUUGUCGCCUGCUUUUGUAAAUAAAGUUUUAUUGGCUCAC